GAGUUUGAUUAUGGCUCAGGAUGAACGCACAAGACGUGCCUAACACAUGCAAAUCGAAUGAAAACAAUUUAAUUAAAUUGUUUUCAUGGUGAACGGGUGAGUAACACAUAAGAAUCAGCUUUUAGAUAAGGCAUAAAAGAGUAAUAUCUUGGUAAUUCCUUAUAUGCGCAGCAGUGCUUAAAAAGGGGACUCCCGUCUAAAAACGAGCUUAUGCCUGAUUAGCUAGUUGGCGAGUUAAAAGCUCACCAAGGCGAAGAUCAGUAGCUGGCCUGAGAGGGCGGCCAGCCACAUUGGGACUGAGACACGGCCCAAACUCCUACGGGAGGCAGCAGUGGGGAAUCUUCUGCAAUGGGCGCAAGCCUGACAGAGCGGCGUCAUGUGAAGGAAGAAGGCCUGAAAUAGGUUGUAAACUUCUUUUACUGAGUAAUGAAUACUGACAACGCAGUAAAAAAGUAUCGGCUAACUCCGUGCCAGCAGCCGCGGUAAUACGGGGGAUGCAAGCGUUAUCCGGAAUCACUGGGCGUAAAGCGUCUGUAGGUGGUUUAGUGUGUUCUUAGUUAAAUUAUGAAGCCUAACUUCAUGAAAAGUAAGAAAACUAUUAGACUUGAGUACGAUAGGGGUAAGAGGAAUUCUUCGAGAAGUAGUGAAAUGCGAAGAUACGAAGGAGAAGAUCAUAAGCGAAGGCUUCUUACUGGGUCGUAACUGACACUGAGAGACGAAAGCUAGGGGAGCGAAUGGGAUUAGAUACCCCAGUAGUCCUAGCUGUAAACGAUGGAUAUUCGGUGCCGGAUUUUAUUAGAACAUUUCGGUACCCUAGCUAACGCGUUAAAUAUCCCGCCUGAGGAGUACGCUCGCAAGGGUGAAACUCAAAGGAAUUGACGGGGGCUCGCACAAGCGGUGGAGCAUGUGGUUUAAUUCGAUGCAAAGCGAAGAACCUUACCAGGGCUUGACAGUAUGU
Molecule: ribosomal RNA, 958 nt
Filed under: uncultured candidate division CAB-I bacterium
Lineage: Bacteria
Description: bacterial SSU rRNA
Rfam family: Bacterial small subunit ribosomal RNA
Source: RNAcentral